GAUGAACGCUAGCGGGAGGCCUAACACAUGCAAGCCGAGCGGUAUGGGUAGCUUGCUACCCAGAGAGCGGCGUACGGGUGCGUAACACGUGUGCAACCUGCCCCUAUCCGGGGGAUAGCCCUCCGAAAGGAGGAUUAAUGCCCCAUAAUAUAUCUGGUGGCAUCACUAGAUAUUGAAAACCCCGGUGGAUAGGGAUGGGCACGCGCAAGAUUAGAUAGUUGGCGGGGUAACGGCCCACCAAGUCGAUGAUCUUUAGGGGUCCUGAGAGGGAGAUCCCCCACACUGGUACUGAGACACGGACCAGACUCCUACGGGAGGCAGCAGUGAGGAAGAUUGGACAAUGGGUGGAAGCCUGAUCCAGCCAUCCCGCGUGAGGGACGACGGCCCUAUGGGUUGUAAACCUCUUUUGUACGGGGAUAAACCUAUCUACGUGUAGAUAGCUGAAGGUACCGUACGAAUAAGCACCGGCUAACUCCGUG
RNAcentral lists this ribosomal RNA (479 nucleotides) under uncultured bacterium. Its description in RNAcentral is "partial 16S ribosomal RNA". It matches the Rfam family "Bacterial small subunit ribosomal RNA", at positions 28 to 507 of the family's 1533-position model. The record is from RNAcentral.